Molecule: ribosomal RNA, 492 nt
Filed under: uncultured bacterium
Lineage: Bacteria
Description: partial 16S ribosomal RNA
Rfam family: Bacterial small subunit ribosomal RNA
Source: RNAcentral
AGUGAACGCUGGCGGUAGGCCUAACACAUGCAAGUCGAACGGCAGCACAGUAAGAGCUUGCUCUUACGGGUGGCGAGUGGCGGACGGGUGAGGAAUACAUCGGAAUCUACUUUUUCGUGGGGGAUAACGUAGGGAAACUUACGCUAAUACCGCAUACGACCUACGGGCGAAAGCAGGGGAUCUUCGGACCUUGCGCGAUUGAAUGAGCCGAUGUCGGAUUAGCUAGUUGGCGGGGUAAAGGCCCACCAAGGCGACGAUCCGUAGCUGGUCUGAGAGGAUGAUCAGCCAAACUGGAACUGGGACACGGUCCAGACUCCUACGGGAGGCAGCAGUGGGGAAUAUUGGACAAUGGGCGCAAGCCUGAUCCAGCCAUACCGCGUGGGUGAAGAAGGCCUUCGGGUUGUAAAGCCCUUUUGUUGGGAAAGAAAAGCAGCAGGUUAAUACCCCGCUGUUCUGACGGUACCCAAAGAAUAAGCACCGGCUAACUUCGUG